Molecule: ribosomal RNA, 253 nt
Filed under: uncultured bacterium
Lineage: Bacteria
Description: partial 16S ribosomal RNA
Rfam family: Bacterial small subunit ribosomal RNA
Source: RNAcentral
UACGUAGGAUCCAAGCGUUGUCCGGAUUUACUGGGUGUAAAGGGUGCGCAGGCGGACUGGUUAGUCUGGGGUGAAAUCUCAUCGCUUAACGGUGAAACUGCCUUAGAUACUGCCAGUCUUGGAUAAGCGAGAGGUUCGUGGAAUUCCGAGUGUAGCAGUGAAAUGUGUAGAUAUUCGGAAGAACACCAGUGGCGAAGGCAGCGAACUGGCGCUUUAUCGACGCUCAGGCACGAAAGCAUGGGGAUCAAACAGG